GACGAACGCUGGCGGCGCGCUUAACACAUGCAAGUCGAACGGAAAGGCCUGCUUUCCCUUGUGGAUUGCGGGUACUCGAGUGGCGAACGGGUGAGUAACACGUGAGUGAUCUGCCCCCAACUUGGGUAUAAGCCUGGGAAACUGGGUCUAAUUCCCGAUAGGACUGCAGGGUGGUGCCGGUGGUGGAAAACGAUUUUCUAGUGGUUGGGGAUGAGCUCGCGGCCUAUCAGCUUGUUGGUGGGGUAAUGGCCUACCAAGGCGGCGACGGGUAGCCGGCCUGUGAUCGUGGACGGCCGCAUUGGGACUGAGUUACGGCCCCGACUCCUACGGGAGGCAGCAGUGGGGAAUAUUGCACAAUGGGCGUAAGCCUGAUGCAGCGACGCCGCGUGGGGGAUGACGGCCUUCGGGUUGUAAACUCCUUUCGACCGCGAGGAAGCCACCUGGUUGGAAGGGUGGUGACGGUAGUGGUAGAAGAAGCACCGGCUAACUACGUG
RNAcentral lists this ribosomal RNA (494 nucleotides) under uncultured bacterium. Its description in RNAcentral is "partial 16S ribosomal RNA". It matches the Rfam family "Bacterial small subunit ribosomal RNA", at positions 28 to 507 of the family's 1533-position model. The record is from RNAcentral.